This 468-nucleotide ribosomal RNA is filed under the name uncultured bacterium. RNAcentral describes it as "partial 16S ribosomal RNA". It matches the Rfam family "Bacterial small subunit ribosomal RNA", at positions 28 to 507 of the family's 1533-position model. The record is from RNAcentral.
GACGAACGCUGGCGGCGUGCUUAACACAUGCAAGUCGAACGGAAAGGCCCUGCUUUUGUUGGGUGCUCGAGUGGCGAACGGGUGAGUAACACGUGAGUAACCUGCCCUUGACUUUGGGAUAACUUCAGGAAACUGGGGCUAAUACCGGAUAGGAGCUCCUGCUGCAUGUUGGGGGUUGGAAAGUUUCGGCGGUUGGGGAUGGACUCGCGGCUUAUCAGCUUGUUGGUGGGGUAGUGGCUUACCAAGGCUUUGACGGGUAGCCGGCCUGAGAGGGUGACCGGCCACAUUGGGGCUGAGAUACGGCCCAGACUCCUACGGGAGGCAGCAGUGGGGAAUAUUGCACAAUGGGCGGAAGCCUGAUGCAGCAACGCCGCGUGCGGGAUGACGGCCUUCGGGUUGUAAACCGCUUUCGCCUGUGACGAAGCGUGAGUGACGGUAAUGGGUAAAGAAGCACCGGCUAACUACGUG